Molecule: unclassified non-coding RNA, 707 nt
Filed under: Hevea brasiliensis (rubber tree)
Lineage: Eukaryota; Viridiplantae; Streptophyta; Magnoliopsida; Malpighiales; Euphorbiaceae
Source: RNAcentral
AAAAACGCAAAAGAAAGGAAAAUCGGGAAAGGAGGGAAGAAAGGAGAAGAAGGGAAGGAGGGGAGGAAGGAUGGUCAGACUUUUGGAGUUUUCCGGUGAGAGUGCAUGUUGGCAAGGGGAAAAGAGGGAGUGGGACCUGAAAAGCUAGAAAUUGGAGAGAGAAAGAAGGGAGAUAAAGAGAGGAAGUUAGCUACGGAGGGUUGAUUUGAGCAAAUGGGUAAGAGUUAUAUUGCAAAAUUGGUAUCUAUGGGAAUCAAGAGGAAAAAAGAAACAUUUCAGUGUGCUCAAAUCUUGCGAUCGUAGCCAUCGAGGAGCUGCCGAUGGCAAUGCGUAGUGAAGCCGGCGGCUGCUCUUAUGACCUUUGGCCAUGAUUCAACUUCCACAAGUUUUCUCAUGAAUUUUUAAAAUUUGUGAGAUAUAGAAUGGAUAAAAGUAGUGUCUGUAUAUUGAUACAUAGCAGCCCAAUUUUGCAAGUAAUAUAAGAUGAAUGUUGAGUAUCAAUUGUGGUUUCUAGAACUCUAAUUGGCUAGACUUCAAGAUUCUGGGAAAAAAGAGAUGAGUGUUCAAUAGGAAGAAGGGUGUUACACUUUGCAUUGCCUAAGCUGGUUGAGUUAGCUAGUUGCUUCUUUGGCAUCAGACUGUGGCCGGAGUUCCUGGCCAUAUAGGGUGACCGUGAUUUGACGGCUUACAACAUGACUUGAGGUAGG